CCUACGUGCUGCAGCAGUGGGGAAUAUUGGACAAUGGGCGAAAGCCUGAUCCAGCCAUGCCGCGUGUGUGAAGAAGGCCUUCGGGUUGUAAAGCACUUUCAGUGGGGAAGAAAGCCUUGGGGCUAAUACCCUCGAGGAAGGACAUCACCCACAGAAGAAGCACCGGCUAACUCCGUGCCAGCAGCCGCGGUAAUACGGAGGGUGCGAGCGUUAAUCGGAAUUACUGGGCGUAAAGCGCGCGUAGGCGGUCUGAUAAGCCGGUUGUGAAAGCCCCGGGCUCAACCUGGGAACGGCAUCCGGAACUGUCAGGCUAGAGUGCAGGAGAGGAAGGUAGAAUUCCCGGUGUAGCGGUGAAAUGCGUAGAGAUCGGGAGGAAUACCAGUGGCGAAGGCGGCCUUCUGGACUGACACUGACGCUGAGGUGCGAAAGCGUGGGUAGCAAACAGGAUUAGAUACCCAGUAGUC
Molecule: ribosomal RNA, 464 nt
Filed under: Vreelandella stevensii
Lineage: Bacteria; Pseudomonadati; Pseudomonadota; Gammaproteobacteria; Oceanospirillales; Halomonadaceae
Description: partial 16S ribosomal RNA
Rfam family: Bacterial small subunit ribosomal RNA
Source: RNAcentral